Herpailurus yagouaroundi (jaguarundi) is the source of this 135-nucleotide long non-coding RNA. RefSeq lists it as uncharacterized. NCBI's taxonomy places the organism in Eukaryota, Metazoa, Chordata, Mammalia, Carnivora, Felidae. The record is from RefSeq and is a predicted model, not a curated record. The transcript has 3 exons.
CUGUGUGUUUGCGUGUUCGUUACAUGUUUAUUUGCUUUGGUUUUUCUUCAUUUCUGGAAAUUCCACAGCCCCCAAACUACAGCCGAGGCACCUGGUGAUAACCGACAACGGAAAAAGCUUAGACGAAUUUCCAAU